RNAcentral lists this ribosomal RNA (866 nucleotides) under uncultured bacterium. RNAcentral describes it as "bacterial SSU rRNA". It matches the Rfam family "Bacterial small subunit ribosomal RNA", at positions 8 to 853 of the family's 1533-position model. The record is from RNAcentral.
AGAGUUUGAUCCUGGCUCAGGACGAACGCUGGCGGCGUGCCUAAUACAUGCAAGUUGAACGAUGAUUUCUGGUACUUGUAUCAGAAUGAAGAGUAGCGAACGGGUGAGUAGACGCGUGGGUAACCUACCUCUUAGCGGGGGACAACUAUUGGACAACGAUAGCUAAUACCGCAUAACAAUAUUAAACACAUGUUUAAUAUUUGAAAGUACCAAUUGGUACACUAGGAGAUGGACCCGCGUUGUAUUAGCUAGUUGGUAGUGUAAUGGACUACCAAGGCGAUGAUACAUAGCCGACCUGAGAGGGUGAUCGGCCACAUUGGGACUGAGACACGGCCCAAACUCCUACGGGAGGCAGCAGUAGGGAAUCUUCGGCAAUGGACGAAAGUCUGACCGAGCAACGCCGCGUGAGUGAAGAAGGUUUUCGGAUCGUAAAACUCUGUUGUUAGAGAAGAACGUUGUGUAGAGUGGAAAAUUACACAAGUGACGGUAUCUAACCAGAAAGGGACGGCUAACUACGUGCCAGCAGCCGCGGUAAUACGUAGGUCCCGAACGUUGUCCGGAUUUAUUGGGCGUAAAGCGAGCGCAGGUGGUUUAAUAAGUCUGAUGUAAAAGGCAGUGGCUCAACCAUUGUGUGCAUUGGAAACUGUUAGACUUGAGUGCAGUAGAGGAGAGUGGAAUUCCAUGUGUAGCGGUGAAAUGCGUAGAUAUAUGGAGGAACACCGGUGGCGAAAGCGGCUCUCUGGACUGUAACUGACACUGAGGCUCGAAAGCGUGGGUAGCAAACAGGAUUAGAUACCCUGGUAGUCCACGCCGUAAACGAUGAGUGCUAGUUGUUUGGGGCUAUCCAGCCCUAAGUGCACGCAGCA